CCCUUAGAUGUUCUGGGCCGCACGCGCGCUACACUGACGAAUGCAACGAGCUUAUAACCUUGGCCGAAAGGUCUGGGUAAUCUCCAAAUUUCGUCGUGAUGGGGAUAGAUUAUUGCAAUUAUUAAUCUUCAACGAGGAAUGCCUAGUAAGCGCAAGUCAUCAGCUUGCGUUGAUUACGUCCCUGCCCUUUGUACACACCCCCCGUCGCUCCUACCGAUUGAAUGGUCCGGUGAAGCGUUCGGACCGUGGCCUUUGGACGGUUCGCCGUCUGUUGGCUGCGGGAAGUUCGUUAAACCUUAUCAUUUAGAGGAAGGAGAAGUCGUAACA
This 327-nucleotide ribosomal RNA is filed under the name uncultured eukaryote. RNAcentral's name for it is "partial 18S ribosomal RNA". It matches the Rfam family "Eukaryotic small subunit ribosomal RNA", at positions 1470 to 1796 of the family's 1831-position model. The record is from RNAcentral.